Long non-coding RNA from Arvicola amphibius (Eurasian water vole), 727 nucleotides. RefSeq lists it as uncharacterized. The record is from RefSeq and is a predicted model, not a curated record. Lineage: Eukaryota; Metazoa; Chordata; Mammalia; Rodentia; Cricetidae. The transcript has 5 exons.
GUCUCGGCCUGAGCGGUGCCCUCUGCAACCCCGCAGGCUGCUAAACUCUGAACUGCGCCUCAAGACGUCGUUUCCAUCAGCACCCGUGCGAGCCAAGCCUGUUUCCCUCUCUCCCGCCCUUGCAAUCCUCCUGCCUCUCCUAAUCCUAGUUCCUGAAAAAGCGCAGGAAGGGCAUCUCCCGUUGGUAGCGGUGUGGACACAGUCGUUCUGAAAGCCCUGGGAAACGCAGAUCCCUGUGACUCUUCCCCCUAGGACUGUCUCUAAGCCGUGUACGCGUCUGGAUGCAAACGUGGUUGAUGUAAGUGGUCUGGAGACAGAAUCUUCUAAUGGGAAAGAUACUCUAGAAGGUGCUGGUGAUACUUCAGAAGCGAUGGAUACCCAGGUGGGCUCUGUGGAUGAAGAGAAUGGUCGACAACUGGGAGAGGUGGAGUUGCAGUGUGGAAUAUGUACGAAAUGGUUUACCGCUGACACCUUCGGAAUAGACACAUCGAUGAAGGUCCUAUGUGACCAUUAUUCUGUAAACAUAUGGAUCCCCUGUCUCCUGCCAUUAUUUUCUCAUCUGCUCUAAGAGAGGGAGUCUACUGAAACUUGCCCUACGUGAGGUAGACAAGACUAUGGAUCUGGAGAUCUCCGCACAGGUCUUUCAAAAAAAGAAAACCAUCUAAGUUCAAAACCUCCCCCCCAUGAGAGACAAAAAUGUGGCAUUAUUGUCAUUUGGGCAAAUGGU